UACGUAGGGUGCGAGCGUUAAUCGGAAUUACUGGGCGUAAAGCGUGCGCAGGCGGUUUUGUAAGCCAGGUGUGAAAUCCCCGGGCUCAACCUGGGAAUGGCAUUUGGGGACUGCAAGGCUGGAGUGCGGCAGAGGAGACUGGAAUUCCUGGUGUAGCAGUGAAAUGCGUAGAUAUCAGGAGGAACACCGAUGGCGAAGGCAGGUCUCUGGGCUGACACUGACGCUCAUGCACGAAAG
Molecule: ribosomal RNA, 237 nt
Filed under: uncultured bacterium
Lineage: Bacteria
Description: partial 16S ribosomal RNA
Rfam family: Bacterial small subunit ribosomal RNA
Source: RNAcentral